This is a long non-coding RNA of Trifolium pratense (red clover), 769 nucleotides long. RefSeq lists it as uncharacterized. The record is from RefSeq and is a predicted model, not a curated record. NCBI's taxonomy places the organism in Eukaryota, Viridiplantae, Streptophyta, Magnoliopsida, Fabales, Fabaceae. The transcript is spliced from 3 exons.
AAAAUUAAAAAUAAAACGCAGUGAUCUAUCAAAAUUACGCACGAUAUCUUCAAUCCACUUCCAGGAAAAAUUGAAUUCAAACCCUAGAAACAAAAUCAAUAUUCAGCAAACAAUGAACUCAAACCCUAGAUUCGAAAUCGAUCAUCAAACCCAAAGGAAUCUUAUUCCUCUGUAAUCAAACUCAGAGUAAUCGGAAUUCAGAGAAAUUGAAGUUAGAGCAAUCAAAACUCAGAGGUUGUUUCCCAGAUUAAUCGUUCAACUCGUCUUCUCCAAUCACACUCGUCAAUCCUAAUAUCCAAGAACCCAUAAACCACUGUGAACCUUAACCCAUAACCCGUAAAUCAUCUUCUCUCCAAGAACCUUAAUCCAAUAACCCACGCAUUUAACCGUCGGUAGUCUCGUUCGUCGCCGCACUCUCACAACUCAAACUGCUGUCAUUAAGGUAUAUGAUCAAAAGUCUCAAAGGCAUGUCGAAUAACUAAUUGUAAAAAAAAGUUUGUGGUUAAUGACAGGUAUUUUGUCAUUCAAAAUAGCUCUUAGUCUAAUAGGUAUAGUAUAAUUUUUUGGCUUGAACUGAUCAGAUGCAAGCUAUCAAAAGCAUUAGUACUGAAGGCAAUCUGUGCAAAUCUCUAAGAGACCAUAGAGCCAUAAAUUUAUUAAACUCCAGGUCCUUUUUAUUGUUAUUUUCUUUCUGGAGGAUGAAAUAGUUUUCACCUUAGUUAUUUGCAUAAAAGAAUUGAUAUAUCUAGUCUAGUACUUUUGAUUAUAU